GAUCCUGGCUUAGGAUGAACGCUGGCGGCGUGCUUAACACAUGCAAGUCGAGCGAAGCGAUUCAAAGAAGUUUCGGAUGGAUUUGAAUUGACUGAGCGGCGGACGGGUGAGUAACGCGUGGGUAACCUGCCUCAUACAGGGGGAUAACAGUUGGAAACGACUGCUAAUACCGCAUAAGCACACAGUGCCGCAUGGUACGGUGUGAAAAACUCCGGUGGUAUGAGAUGGACCCGCGUCUGAUUAGGUAGUUGGUGAGGUAACGGCCCACCAAGCCGACGAUCAGUAGCCGACCUGAGAGGGUGACCGGCCACAUUGGGACUGAGACACGGCCCAAACUCCUACGGGAGGCAGCAGUGGGGAAUAUUGGACAAUGGGGGAAACCCUGAUCCAGCCGACGCCGCGUGAGUGAAGAAGUGUUUCGGCAUGUAAAGCUCUAUCAGCAGGGAAGAAAAUGACGGUACCUGACUAAGAAGCCCCGGCUAACUACGUGCCAGCCGCUGC
Molecule: ribosomal RNA, 501 nt
Filed under: uncultured bacterium
Lineage: Bacteria
Description: bacterial SSU rRNA
Rfam family: Bacterial small subunit ribosomal RNA
Source: RNAcentral